This 6826-nucleotide long non-coding RNA is filed under the name Sus scrofa (pig). RNAcentral's name for it is "lncRNA (ENSSSCG00065026625.1)". Lineage: Eukaryota; Metazoa; Chordata; Mammalia; Artiodactyla; Suidae. The record is from RNAcentral.
ACAUGGAAGCACACCGUCGUUAGAAACAAGUGUAGCAUGUGUAGUAAAGAUGACCAUGUUAAACAGCUAGGAAUUUUCACCUAAUUGCCCAUUUAUAUAACACUGCAAAAAAGGACCAGGCAUCCUAGCUAUGUCAGAUCAUUUCUUUGCUCACCAAAGAGAUUUGAAAUGCACUUUUAAUUAUUAUUGCCGAUUUGCUAUGGCUAUAUUCCUUAAUAUGAAUAUCUGAUUAGCAUUAAUUUUCUUUAAUUGAUGAAUAGAGCACUUAAACUCGUAGGGUUGCAUUUUUUGUUCAUAUUGGUAUAUGUACUACAUUGUGGUAUGGCGUAUCUUACGUAUUAUGACUUUUCCCUGGAGUACAAAUUACAGGCUCUUUUUAUCUGUUUUUGUUUGAGGUCAUUUUUCUUCCUUCCUUCACCUUUGUGUGGCUUCUUAGAUUUGUUAAUGGAGAUAGAGCAGGGCUAAGUGACUAUUAAACUGUUUUCUAUAUACAGUAAAACCCAUUAACAUGGACCUCACUAAAUUUGGAAUUUAUGAUAAUGAGGGCAGGGCCUGGGUUAAAGUUUACUUUUGCAUUGUCUCUGAAUUAAAGCUUUGAUGAGCUAAUAAAUAGUAUACAUAUAAUCACAGGAGAAUGGCACUCUUACUUUUAAAAGCAGCCUUUUCUGGCACUCUAGAGAAGGGCCUUGCAGGAGAGGUAAUAAGGUAGUGUGGAGAUGGCAGAAUGCAAAGACUGUACCACUAACCAGCUAUGUGACCUUGGACAAAUUACUUAGCUUCUCUGAGUAUCUUUUUUCUCAUCUAUAAAAUGGAGAUAGUUAUCUAAUUUAUGGAGUUGCUGUGAGGGUUAGGUUUAAUGUAUAAAAGUGCCUGGUGAACAGUACAUACUUCAUAAAUGGCAGGUAAUUAUUGCCAAUCUAAAGUAAUUGGUGAACUAAUUUCACAUAUGUCUAUGUCUCUUUUGUUUUUUCUUUGCUUUUUAGGGCCGUAUUCAUGGCAUGUGGAGGUUCCCAGGCUAGGGGCCGAAUUGGAGCUAUAGCUGCCAGCCUACACCACAGCCACAGUAACGCAGGAUCCAAGCCGCGUCUGCGACCUACACCGCAGCUCACAUCUGCGACCUACACCACAGCUCACGGCAACACCGGAUCCUUAACUCAGUGAGGGAGGCCGGGGAUCAAAUACGCAACCUCAUGGUUCCUGGUCGGAUUCGUUUCCACUGUGCCAGGACGGCAACUCCUCAUACUUCCCAUUUUUAAGGAAGGCAAGGUUCCUUGGCACUUUAGAGUUGUGUUAACCUAAUCUGAGAUAUUGCUUUAUUAUUAUAAUUGAUUAAAGGCAAGCCCAGCAGUUUAGUGUGGUGGUAAAGAACAUGAGCUUUGGAGUCAGACAAACUCAGACUUGAAAGUAGUUCUACCACUAAUUAUCUAUGUGGCCUUAGGCAAGCUACUUAUUAUCUCUCAGGUUUUGUUUUCUAAUUUGUAAAAGUGGAAUAACAAUAUCUGCUCCAGGACUUUUGUGAGGACUCAGUGUGAUAUGGGUAAAGUGUUCAGCCUAGUGAUUUUCAUGUAGUAAACUCUCAAAUAUCAACUGUUGCUGUUGUCAUGAUUUUUUUCACAGUACUAAAUAGUUUAGACCUUUAUUUCAUUGACUUGUUUUUUUCAACUCAUCUGCUUAAUGAAUUUAGAUAUAAUCUCCAUUCUAGAUGAAAAUUUUAAGUAUGUAAGUAAAAAUUGUAGGGAAACAAAAUGGCUAAAUACAUAAGGUGAAAGAGGAAAAAUAAUGUUUUAAAAAUGGAAGCAUGAGAUCUCAAGUUAGGCUUAAAUUACUGAUAGUCACUUUCGUGCAUAAUAUUUAUGUUCUUUGUAAAAGGUCUCUAUAUUACCCAGAAAAAAACAGAAAUUUAUAUAUACGUAGUAGAAAGCGUGGACUGGUGACCCAGCUCAUGUCAUUCAUUGGUGAGAGAAGCAGUAAGUCCUCGUUCAACCUUAUUUCUAUCUUCUUGCUUUCCUCUUAUGUUUCAUAGGUUGUAUGAAUGAGAAAUGUAAGCACUAUAAUGUCCUGCAUGGAGACUAUAAUCUAUCCUCCCCUUAAUGACAGGCUUACACACUUUGUCAGAAUCCAUCACCUCAACACAUCAGACUGAAUUACAUUGAUGAUUGGCAAAUGGUACUGCUUGUGGUGAAAUGCAAGGAGCCAGGUGUGUGUGUGUGUGUGUGUAUUAAGUGCUGUUCAAUAGGAGAAAUGUAUUUUACUGAAAACUUUCAUCUGUUGGUGUUUUUGCAGAAGCAGGAAGUGUCCAUCUUUCUUGGGGAAAAUAUAAGAAUUAAUUUUUUGAGAUUUUGAAAUAUUACAAUGCAAAUUCACAACCAUAAAUGAAUUAUAAAAAUUGUGUUUUUUUCCUUAUGUGUACGUGUGUGCACACGUGUGCUCAUCAUAUGCAUGAACGGUGGAACCUUGUAAUAAAAACUAGAGGAGACAGACCAAUCAUACUGUUGGGGCUAUACACCUUUGUCCUUCUAAGCCUGCCCAAUUUAGGCAGGUACUUUUUAAAAGUAAAGUCAGUUCAUUAAGUUGGCAACCAGUGAUUUAACAUAUGAAAUAUUUCAUAAUAAAUUUGCAAGUCAGAAAGAAAAAUCUUUUGUCAGAUUAUGUUUUCUAAUUUUGGGUUAGAAAAUAUGAUCACUGUAAUACACUUCAUGUUGAUUAGUUGUAUUAUUUCAGAUCUUUAUUGGAACUAACUAAUGGUUCGUUGUUAAGGUAUGGCAUUAUUUGUCUAGAUUUGGCAUAACAACAGGAACAGCAGUAAUAACUAAUUUUUGUUGAAUGCUUACUAUAUGCAGACACUGCUAGAAGCUGGGGACAUAAUGGGAAGCAAAAAAAAAAAAAAAGGACAUAACUUCAUAUUGUUAAUAACAACCUAUGAAGUAGGUAUAGCUAACGGAACAAAUUCAUAGAGUUUAAACAAUUUGUCCAAGGGUGGCUAGCUAGUAAGUUACAUUGUAUUUGUUAGAGCAGCCUAACCUAUAUCCUGGUUUAGAGAUUCUAACAUAUAGUGGCUUAAAUAAGCUAGGAGCUCCCUGAUACAGUGGAGGUACCAUAUCAGCCCUAUCAGCUUUGUACUGUUUACACUUACUUAGACUGUCAGGUAAGGGGGAAGUAAACUUCUCCCUUACUACUCUGAUAUCCCUGAACGUUGGUCCAUAUGUCUGAAGAUUCAUAAGCAUUCUCUUUAAAGGCACUCCCUAAAUGUUGUACCCCUAACUUCUACUUGCAUCCUACUAGCCAUACCUAGCUGCUAAGAAGGCCUGAACAUAUAAUCUUUAUGGUUGUGUACCUGUCAAAAUUCAGGGGUUCUAAUAUUAAAGGAAAAAGGGGAGAAUAGAUACUAGGGAACAGGUUGGCAGUCUCUGUAUCGUAUGCUAAUUAAGAGCAUUGUUUCAGACUUGGACAAGUGACAAAUGAUCUCAUGACUUUGGAAUAUGCCUGUAUCCGUUUUCCAUUUCUUUCUAAGUAGUAUAUCAAAGUUAUUUAUAUAUGCAGGUAUGUAGUGUGUGUGAUGUAUUUAAGUAUUCAAAGUAUGUGGGGUAUCAUGAAUAUUACAUAAUUCUACAGUAGACUUUGGUCAUCCUUAAGGACUAAUUCAAAAUCUCACAAUAGAAAAAGUCCAUUGGCUUUCAUCUUUGGCAAAAGGCUUGUAAAACCCCCGGGGAUUUGUCUUGCUUGCAUCCUCACUCUAAAAAGAUCUCAGACUCAGAGAUUCUUCUUGUAAGAGGUGUUUUCAUGGAGAAAUGGCUUUAUAGAAAUAAGUUACUCUAAGGUUUUGAGUGAGGCAAGUACUUAAAUCCUAAACAACUCUGGCCCAGAAUUUCAAAAAAUUCCUAGAAUUCUUGGCUUAGACAUUUUCUAUAGAAAUAUGAAUGAACAAGCAUUUAUUCAGAAUACACAUAGGUAGUAAUUAUAUUGAGAUGGACCCACAGAUUUUUAUCCAGAUAUCUCCUGGGGCUACAGGUAGUGUGAGGAGAUAAGCAUAGGCUAGACCUCAAGUACAUACACAUAUAUUCUUAUUUGUUAUCUGAGUAUUGCCCUACUCCCUGCCCUCGCCUCUCCCCCAAACCUAAUGCAUUUCUGAUGUGCUCAGUGAUCCAUGUGGAUAUGCUUGGAAAUAUUAUGUCUUGCACACAGUUAUGCCUCCUUGGUCCCUUUUUCCUGGGUUUGGCUCUUUAAAUUCUACUCCACCAGUGGCUAGAUGAGGCAGGAAAAAAAAAGGGGGGAAGGUUUAAGUUAGAACUGGUCUAAUUAGUCUUGCCCUAGGCCUUAACUGGGUUGGGGGAGGUGGUGGUUCGGGAGGAUGUCUGAAGUGGGAGGCGGUUCCAGACCUCUUUUACCCUAGUGGCUACAUGAAGUAGAGAGAAACAAUCUAAAGAGAAUGAGAACCCCAAGAGACAAACUCCAAAGAAACCACAGAAUCCUAUAGGUCAAAACUUUAACAUUUCUUUCAAUACACCAAAAGUUCCAGCUCCUUUUAAGAGAUUUAGUUGACUCCAGUAGCCUAAUUCAGUUACCUUGUCUUUUUUCUCCCAUGCCUGUGGUGUGGGGGGUGGAGUAAAAGUGAGAAGAAGAUGGAAGUGGAGUUUUGCCCUCCCAUUAGAGGUUGUAUUAGGAUCUGAAAGUCUGGCUACGCUAGAGUUAGCCAGCAGUCUGGCCCUCAGAGACUGAGGGGGUGUGAUGAUCUUGGUAGUGGUUCAGGGAAGGUGUUGGUUCUGAGGAAAUUCAAUUUAGCAGGAGGUUUGGGCAACUAGAAUGUAGAUAGCAGAUGAGCUUCAGAAUCACAAAUGGCAGUGGGCAAUCUAUGCAUAGCUGGAUCCCAGCCAGCGACUGGGGUCCUGGAAUAGCGUCUGGGGGAGAGUUGUGUCAGGGUCCUUGUCAAGUAGAUUUGGGUUCAGGGCAAGGCACAAAGCAUUGCUCGAAACGGGAAAGACAGCGCAGAGGCAGUUCUGAAGAUCUGGCCCUUUUGUCUGGGGUUGGUAGGGAAAGAAAGGGAAAAAUGAUUAUGAAGCAGUUUAGAGUAAACUCAGUGCAAUUCAAUGCAUUUGUGGCCAAAGAAGGACUUUCAAUCCCACUAUCUGGUGAGCUGAAAUUGCUUCUCUUUUGCCUGCCUGAUAAUGGGCUGAAUGUCACAGCUCUGUUGAGCCUCUUAAGUGGAGAUUUCAGGGGCCUUAGCUCAGAGGGAUCUUGGGAUGAAUGGCUGAAGUCAAGACUCAGUGGAAGUAAUAUUACUUGGAAGAAGUUGAGACUACCUAGGAGGAGACCUAGGCCUAGCUUGGAGGCUAUCAUGGUCCAGGCUGCAGAGAAUAGAGCCUGACAAGGUGGGGAAAUUUUAGUAGCAAUUCAGAAGAAAAGGGGUCCACAAAAGACACUUCAAAUUAAAAAAUAACAGGCUUCAGUGACAGGUUUGAUAUAAUGGCUAGAGAAGAGAAAACCGUAAAAUGAUUCUAGGUGGGUUUUUAAAUGCUCAUGUAAUAUGACAUUUUUGCUCAUGAGCCAAAGGGUGUUUAAACAUAUAUGUGAUCCCUUUUGACCAAUUGGAAAAAAAAACUCAAAUAAAUAAAUUAGUUAAUAAAUUGUAUUCAGGCUGAGCUUACUUGUGUGUUGGUUAGCUUUACAUCCCAUUGCAGUGGGAUAUCUCAAAAACAGGCCCCCUUGAUAUGAAUGAAUAAAAAUGUGAAUGAGUAAAAAUGUUUCUUAUAAAGAUGCCUGUCUUUCCUGGUCUAAGAUAGUGUUACUAAUAUACAUGGCAUAGGUAUGACUGAAGAACCUAAGAUGGGACCGACCUAGCUUCUUUCAUGCUGCUUCAUGGGGCCUUUGCCAUGGAGCUCAUGUUUGAAGUGUUUGUGCCUUCUUCAUUUACCUACCUGGUUAGUUCAGAGCCUUUGCUGGAGAAAGUGUGCUCCUGUUUGGCCAGGGUGCUUCACAGCAGGCUUCUUUUUCCGAAGCUGUUGUUUCCCAGCCAAACUGCUUUGAUGCUACCUGAGGGGACAAAGCAGAAAUGUUACUGUUCGUGAAGGGGUAGGACUCAGAGCCUUAGGAUGGGUUUUAUUCCUGUUUAUCAAAGCAAGGGAAAACACACAGAAUCUUUACCUGGGUAGGGAAACAUUGUUUUCAAAAUGCACAGAUAUGUGGUAUGUCUGAUUUUAAUAGGCUUGGAUCUGCGCCUGGGAGUGGCAUGGAUUUCAAAGUCAUUAUUUAAGAUGUACAGUCUGUAGGAUGGGGGUAGACUGAAUACCUGCUUCACGGAAUACUUGCUUCAAAUCACCUUUCACAUCUUCUUGUUGGAAAGACAAUCAUUGGAGAAUCGUCUUGUUACUGUCAGCAAAACUGAAAAGAAAUCAAGACAUUAAGAAUGCCACAGUGGCCAGCAGUUAAUGAUGCCAGUGUUAUGCAAGCUUCGGCAAAGGAAUUUUUUUCAAGACAGCGUGCCUCACUAGCCAGAAAUCAGGAAAGGUCGAACCUAUCCUUUUUAUCUCAGCUGUUUCUUCAGUCAGUGCAGCCCCUCCUAAUUAAAGUGAAUUGAAACAUGCAUUGCCUUUUCAGCUUAAUUGAGUACUUACUAUGUGUGAAUCACUGCACAGAAUAGGGGAGGGAAAAUGAGGGAGACAAAUAAGAUAUUGUCCCUGCCUUCAUUGGAUUUACAGUUAGUUUAAGGGCUUUUUUUGUCUUCUGCUCUUAAUUAAGUGUAUCCCUAAGACAGGAAAUGAAUGGAAAAGUGUAUUCUGUAAGUAUUUGAAAUCUCCUUAAUAUAAGACGAAAUAAAAACUAAUGUGAGCAA